CCUCUUCUAUCUCUUUCUCUCUCUGUCCCUCUCUCUCUACUUCUCUGCUCUGCUCUGCUCUGCUUUGCUUUGCUUUGCUUUCUCACUCCUCUCUCUCUCUCUUCCACAAUGCUCCAGUACUCUUCUAUCCCUGUUGUUUUCUUGUGAAGCAAACAAACAGAAGUAGUAUUCUUUGGCAUCAGUUUGGAGAGAGGAGGACUUGAAGGAGCAGGGAUUUUGAUCUUUUCUGUACUUGUUUUCUCCUGGGAGAGAAGAGAGAGAGAUCUGAAGUGGGUAUUGUGUUGCUUUGCAUGAGUAUUGGGGGUCUUGGGUGAGUGAUUUGGAGCACAGCUGGACCACAUUGUUGGGUAAUUGGGAGGGAAAACCAGAGAGAUCUGAUAUCAUCCCCUGUUUUGCUGUGGUUCUGGGAGAGAGAUGGCUGAGAUUUCUGCAAAGACGCUCAUUCCAGAGACGUUCCAGGGGACGAGGCUGGACAUUGCGGGGCAAAUUGGAUUGGUGUGGGAGCUGGUGAAGGCGCCAUUGAUAGUUCCUCUGCUGAGAGUGGCGGUGUAUAUAUGCUUGACCAUGUCACUGAUGCUGUUCGUGGAGAGGCUAUACAUGGGAAUUGUGAUCAUCCUGGUGAAGAUCUUCUGGAAAAAACCAGAUAAGCGUUACAAAUGGGAGCCCCUGCGUGAAGACUUGGAGUCCGGUAACUCGAAUUUCCCCCAUGUGGUCGUGCAAAUCCCAAUGUACAACGAAAAAGAGGUAUCAAUCUCCACUCUCACUCUGUCCUUUCUCACUUCUUCUGCCAUCGUUGAUUUUCUUAUGAUUCAGCAUUAUCGUUUCUUCUUUUCCUUUUUCUUUUUUUUUUUUUGUUUUUUUCUCGCAAUUUUAAUGUUGGGUUUCCGGGAAAACUCUAAAGUCGAUUGCUUUUUCUGUUCAUGGGUGUCUGGGUCAGGUUUACAAGCUCUCCAUUGGAGCUGCAUGCGGACUUUCUUGGCCGGCCGAUCGUCUCGUGAUCCAAGUCCUCGAUGAUUCAACAGACCCUGCUAUCAAGGUAGAUAUAUAACCCACCCAUUUAUCCAGGAAAUAAAAAGAAUUCAAAGCAAAAAUCUUUUUUUUUUUCUUUCCCCCUGAUCGGUGUCUUCUCAUUGCUUUUGCGAGAAAUCAAAAUCCUGUUCAAGAAAGGACCUUACAGUGUUAACAUUCUCAUAUUGAGUAUUAGUGUCAAUCCUUUAAUGAAAACGUGGACUGCUUUCUCGGGCAUUUGACUUCACGUUUGGCAUCUUUCAAUCUCUUAAUGACCUGCGAUUGUGUUGCUUCCAUCUUUCUGUUUUUCUGACACGCUAAUUACUUAACACAAAUUCCCAAAAAAACACCACCAUUUUCCCUCUCGAAAGGUUGAAUUUAUAUCUGUCUAGUGCUAAAUUGGUAAUUGGAUACUUCCCUGAUCAAUAAUUGUGUCAUUUACUCAACACUCUUUCACACAUUACCAAACUCCACCGCAAAACCAUUGAAUUCCCCAUCUGCGUCUUUGAAAAUCACGUAUUCAUCACAUGGGUUUUGUCUCAGAACCUGGUGGAGACGGAAUGCCAGAGAUGGGCAGCCAAAGGCAUCAACAUAAGGUACCAAAUCAGAGAGAACAGAGUGGGGUACAAAGCAGGAGCUCUGAGAGAAGGCCUG
RNAcentral lists this long non-coding RNA (1662 nucleotides) under Vitis vinifera (wine grape). RNAcentral's name for it is "long non-coding RNA (VVIN_LNC001953)". The record is from RNAcentral. Lineage: Eukaryota; Viridiplantae; Streptophyta; Magnoliopsida; Vitales; Vitaceae.